AGUGAACGCUGGCGGUAGGCCUAACACAUGCAAGUCGAACGGCAGCACAGUAAGAGCUUGCUCUUACGGGUGGCGAGUGGCGGAUGGGUGAGGAAUACAUCGGAAUCUACUUUUUCGUGGGGGAUAACGUAGGGAAACUUACGCUAAUACCGCAUACGACCUACGGGUGAAAGCAGGGGAUCUUCGGACCUUGCGCGAUUGAAUGAGCCGAUGUCGGAUUAGCUAGUUGGCGGGGUAAAGGCCCACCAAGGCGACGAUCCGUAGCUGGUCUGAGAGGAUGAUCAGCCACACUGGAACUGAGACACGGUCCAGACUCCUACGGGAGGCAGCAGUGGGGAAUAUUGGACAAUGGGCGCAAGCAUGAUCCAGCCAUACCGCGUGGGUGAAGAAGGCCUUCGGGUUGUAAAGCCCUUUUGUUGGGAAAGAAAAGCAGCAGGUUAAUACCCCGCUGUUCUGACGGUACCCAAAGAAUAAGCACCGGCUAACUUCGUG
This 492-nucleotide ribosomal RNA is filed under the name uncultured bacterium. Its description in RNAcentral is "partial 16S ribosomal RNA". It matches the Rfam family "Bacterial small subunit ribosomal RNA", at positions 29 to 507 of the family's 1533-position model. The record is from RNAcentral.